UACAGAGGUCUCAAGCGUUGUUCGGAUUCAUUGGGCGUAAAGGGUGCGUAGGCGGCGCGGUAAGUCGGGUGUGAAAUCUCGGAGCUUAACUCCGAAACUGCAUUCGAUACUGCCGUGCUUGAGGACUGGAGAGGAGACUGGAAUUUACGGUGUAGCAGUGAAAUGCGUAGAGAUCGUAAGGAAGACCAGUGGCGAAGGCGGGUCUCUGGACAGUUCCUGACGCUGAGGCACGAAGGCCAGGGAGCAAACGGG
RNAcentral lists this ribosomal RNA (252 nucleotides) under uncultured bacterium. RNAcentral describes it as "partial 16S ribosomal RNA". It matches the Rfam family "Bacterial small subunit ribosomal RNA", at positions 524 to 776 of the family's 1533-position model. The record is from RNAcentral.